GCCGACGUGGUGGAAUUGGUAGACACGCUAUCUUGAGGGGGUAGUGGCUUGAUUGCUGUGCGAGUUCGAGUCUCGCCGUCGGCA
Molecule: non-coding RNA, 84 nt
Organism: Angomonas deanei
Lineage: Eukaryota; Euglenozoa; Kinetoplastea; Trypanosomatida; Trypanosomatidae
Source: Rfam